GGGGGUGGGGGGGAGCUGGCUACGGGUACUCUUUGUCACACUCAUGGGAUUGCGUGCUUUGUGUUUAUUUCCCUUGAAAAUUUUUUUAAGGAUCUCAUCUAAUAAACAAAGAUAAAAAUAUGUGCAAGAAAGGGUUAAAAAAAAAGAGCUGGUUAGAUUUGUUACUGCAGAGAGCUGAAUAAGGUCUCUCACAGCCUCAUCACUUUCCUUCCCAGAACCUCCGAAUGCGGCCGUAUUUGGAAAGAGGGUCAUUGUGGAUGCAGUGAGUUAAGAUGAGGUCAUUCUGGAACAGGGUGGUCCUCAGUUCAGUGUGACUGGUGUCUUUAUAGGGAGAGACACAAAGACACAGAGAGAGAGAGAAAGGCCGUGUGAGGACGGGAGCCGAGACGGCAGUGACACAGGAUCGCAGGUGCACCCGGGAGCUGGGAGGAGGCCUGGGACACAUUCUCCCCAGAGCCAUCAGCAUCGGCACAGCCCCAUCAACACCGUGGCUUUGGACUUUCAGCGUCCAGAAUUGUGAGAAAGAAGUCAGCAGGGUUAAGUGAGGUCAUAAGGACGAGCCCUAAGCUGGCAGAACCAGGAUCCUCAUAAGUGAAGCGCUGAGAGAAGGAUGCAUGGAGACCCAGCAAGAAGGUGUCGUGUGCAAGGCCGGCAGGCAGGCAGCCCUCCAGAACCCAGCCCCGCGGCCCCCGGACCGUGAGAAGUGCCAGCAUCCCAUCCCAUAUGGGCACCAGUUAGAGACCUGGCUGCUCCACUUCAAUCCAACUCUCUGCUAUGGCCUGGGACCCACGUGGGAGACCUGGAAGAAGCUCCUGGCUCCUGGCUUCAGAUUGGCACAGCUCCAGCCAUUGCAGCCAUUUGGGGAGUGAACCAGCUGAUGGAAGACCUCUCUCUCUCUCUCUCUCUGCCUCUCCUUCUCUCCCUGUGUAACUCUGACUUUCAAAUAAAUAAAUAAAUCUUUAAAAAAAAUUGGGGGACCCGAGCACCUGUGACUUAAGAAAUGGAGUAAGUACCAAACAGAGGACGGGGCAGCACAGAACUGAUGACACGUGGUCCCGGGACAAGGCCGGGGAUCAAGGGGAGUGGGGUGAGCGCAGCACUGAAGGGGGAUUUUUUAAAAUAUUUUAACUGACUUUAU
This is a non-coding RNA of Oryctolagus cuniculus (rabbit), 1138 nucleotides long. Lineage: Eukaryota; Metazoa; Chordata; Mammalia; Lagomorpha; Leporidae. The record is from RefSeq and is a predicted model, not a curated record.